Molecule: transfer RNA, 71 nt
Filed under: Testudo horsfieldii (Horsfield's tortoise)
Lineage: Eukaryota; Metazoa; Chordata; Testudines; Testudinidae
Description: tRNA-Ala
Rfam family: tRNA
About the family: Transfer RNA (tRNA) molecules are approximately 80 nucleotides in length. Their secondary structure includes four short double-helical elements and three loops (D, anti-codon, and T loops).
Source: RNAcentral
AAGGCCUUAGCUUAAUUAAAGUGUUUGAGUUGCAUUCAUGAGAUAUAAGGUAGAGUCUUAUAGGUCUUAUC